This 385-nucleotide ribosomal RNA is filed under the name uncultured bacterium. Its description in RNAcentral is "bacterial SSU rRNA". It matches the Rfam family "Bacterial small subunit ribosomal RNA", at positions 335 to 713 of the family's 1533-position model. The record is from RNAcentral.
ACUCCUACGGGAGGCAGCAGUGGGGAAUAUUGCACAAUGGGGGAAACCCUGAUGCAGCCAUGCCGCGUGUGUGAAGAAGGCCUUCGGUUGUAAGCACUUUCAGUAGGGAGGAAGGUAGUGUAGUUAACACCUGCAUUAUUUGACGUUACCUACAGAAGAAGCACCGGCUAACUCCGUGCCAGCAGCCGCGGUAAUACGGAGGGUGCGAGCGUUAAUCGGAAUUACUGGGCGUAAAGCGCAUGCAGGCGGCCUGUUAAGUCAGAUGUGAAAGCCCGGGGCUUAACCUCGGAAUUAGCAUUUGAAACUGGCAGGCUAGAGUCUUGUAGAGGGGGUAGAAUUUCAGGUGUAGCGGUGAAAUGCGUAGAGAUACUGAAGGAAUACCAGU